GCAGCAGGAGCUGGUGGAGAACCAUAGAGGAGGUCCGAGCAGGAGCAAGGAACAACAGCAGCAGCAGCUUGGAGGAUAUUCAGCAGCAGCAGCUUGGAGGAGAUUCACGG
RNAcentral lists this unclassified non-coding RNA (110 nucleotides) under Drosophila melanogaster (fruit fly). RNAcentral's name for it is "partial miscellaneous RNA". Lineage: Eukaryota; Metazoa; Arthropoda; Insecta; Diptera; Drosophilidae. The record is from RNAcentral.